RNAcentral lists this ribosomal RNA (253 nucleotides) under uncultured bacterium. RNAcentral describes it as "partial 16S ribosomal RNA". It matches the Rfam family "Bacterial small subunit ribosomal RNA", at positions 524 to 776 of the family's 1533-position model. The record is from RNAcentral.
UACGUAGGGUGCAAGCGUUGUCCGGAAUUAUUGGGCGUAAAGAGCUCGUAGGCGGUUUGUUGCGUCGGCUGUGAAAACCUGAGGCUCAACCUCAGGCCUGCAGUCGAUACGAGCAGACUAGAGUGUUGCAGGGGAGACUGGAAUUCCUGGUGUAGCGGUGAAAUGCGCAGAUAUCAGGAGGAACACCGGUGGCGAAGGCGGCUCUCUGGAACGCAACUGACGCUGAGACGCGAAAGCGUGGGGAGCAAACAGG